UGGGGAAUAUUGGACAAUGGGGGCAACCCUGAUCCAGCGAUGCCGCGUGAGUGAAGAAGGCCUUCGGGUCGUAAAGCUCUUUAGGUUGGGAAGAAGGUGUAUUGGGGAAAUACAGUACAUUUGACGGUACCGACAGAAUAAGCACCGGCAAACUCUGUGCCAGCAGCCGCGGUAAUACAGAGGGUGCGAGCGUUAAUCGGAUUUACUGGGCGUAAAGGGCGCGUAGGUGGUUAAUUAAGUGAGAUGUGAAAGCCCCGGGCUUAACCUGGGAAGUGCAUUUUAAACUGAUUGACUGGAGUACGAGAGAGGGUGGUGGAAUUUCCGGUGUAGCGGUGAAAUGCGUAGAGAUCGGAAAGAACGUCAAUGGCGAAGGCAGCCACCUGGCUCGAUACUGACACUGAGGCGCGAAAGCGUGGGGAGCGAACAGGAUUAGAUACCCCCGUAGUCC
RNAcentral lists this ribosomal RNA (448 nucleotides) under uncultured bacterium. Its description in RNAcentral is "bacterial SSU rRNA". It matches the Rfam family "Bacterial small subunit ribosomal RNA", at positions 355 to 796 of the family's 1533-position model. The record is from RNAcentral.